RNAcentral lists this ribosomal RNA (497 nucleotides) under uncultured bacterium. RNAcentral's name for it is "partial 16S ribosomal RNA". It matches the Rfam family "Bacterial small subunit ribosomal RNA", at positions 28 to 507 of the family's 1533-position model. The record is from RNAcentral.
GAUGAACGCUGGCGGCGUGCCUAAUACAUGCAAGUCGAGCGAACGGACGAGAAGCUUGCUUCUCUGAUGUUAGCGGCGGACGGGUGAGUAACACGUGGAUAACCUACCUAUAAGACCGGGAUAACUUCGGGAAACCGGAGCUAAUACCGGAUAAUAUUUUGAACCGCAUGGUUCAAAAGUGAAAGACGGUCUUGCUGUCACUUAUAGAUGGAUCCGCGCUGCAUUAGCUAGUUGGUAAGGUAACGGCUUACCAAGGCAACGAUGCAUAGCCGACCUGAUAGGGUGAUCGGCCACACUGGAACUGAGGCACGGUCCAGACUCCUACGGGAGGCAGCAGUAGGGAAUCUUCCGCAAUGGGCGAAAGCCUGACGGAGCAACGCCGCGUGAGUGAUGAAGGUCUUCGGAUCGUAAAACUCUGUUAUUAGGGAAGAACAUAUGUGUAAGUAACUGUGCACAUCUUGACGGUACCUAAUCAGAAAGCCACGGCUAACUACGUG